Aegilops tauschii subsp. strangulata is the source of this 3866-nucleotide non-coding RNA. Lineage: Eukaryota; Viridiplantae; Streptophyta; Magnoliopsida; Poales; Poaceae. The record is from RefSeq and is a predicted model, not a curated record.
CCUCUGCCCCGUGCUGGACCACCUCUCCUCCUCCUGCUGCGCCGCCACCUCUCCUCCAUCAUCCGCCAAUCCCAAUCCCCUCCUCUUGGCUGCGCACCCGCGACGGAGACCGAGGAUCCCUGGCCCCGGCCCCAGGCCCUAGCCGCCGGGGAGCUGGUCUGGGCCAAGACCAAGGGCCGCCACCCGCGCGCCUCCGCCCCCUCCCCAGAAUCCUCCCUCGUCUCCUCACCCCACCGCCACCGUCAAGCCCUUCCUCGCCAUCCCCGACACCGACGCCCUCGCAAGGGCCAACACCGGCCUCGCCUUCGUUCCCCACAAGUUCCUUGCCGCCCCCGCCACCUCCUCCUCUUCCUCCCACCUCAGCCGCCUCCCCCUCCCCCCUUACCCUCUCCCCCACCCCCCUCCCGCAUCUCGUCUGCCCCGGGUGCGGAAGCGACCUUCCCGGCGAUGGCGGUGGCGCUGGAUUCGAUCUGCAGGAGAGAGGGAGAGGGGGGAGGUGUGGCUUCUAACUGGAGAGGGUCUCCGCCGGUGUCGGCCUGCACCGGCGAGGUCGGGCGUGACCUGGCUUCCAGGGCGGCUUGACUACAGUCUAUAGGUGACCACGUCCCUUUUCUCCCCUUCUCUCGUAUGUAUCUCUCUAUGUUGUUUCUCCUCCUUUCUCACACGAAGAAACACACAGAGCAGUAAACACAAUGGGAGGAUUUGGGGGCUGCUCAGUUUUGGAUAUGGGGGCUGCACGGGCUUGGAGCAGCAAGCCAUGGCAACGAAGUUGAAUAAAACACAUACUUGUACUGUAAAUAAGGUUUUUUCAUAGUGACACUGACAAAGCUUAUGCAUGAGAUAGAGCAUCAUUGUAUUUUGUGAUUCAGUUUCAUAGCAUUUAUGCCAUAGCAAGGUGCAGGGUAAAUGCUCCUCUUGACCUAUUCUAUUUUGGAAUAAGGUUGCGCCAGAUUAUAUUCAAAUGAACAUUGUAAAGUCUGUACUGUCAUGUUCUAGAUAUGUCAAAAUUUCAGACCAAACAAUCUCCCCUUCAUGAACUCUUCAUUUUUUUCUUAAUAUCAUUUAGUUUGCCAUUUGUAUUUUUGUGAUUGGUAGAUAAAAGCUUGCACAGUUGCACUUGGUGUCUAUAUUACUAUAUAUUCAGCUAAUCAUACAAGAACCGUCUUUGUAACAGAUCCAGGUUUUUAUUUUUAUCUGUCUCCAUGUACUUAAGGCCUAUGUUGUAAGGUUCAGUGGUCAAUUAGAGUUUUAAUUUCCUAGCUGUAGCUCUAAAUAAGGUUUCCUUUGUUAUGCAGUAUAUCCAUAUUAUAAUUAGAGGAGAGGAGUUGUACCGCCUUGCGCAUAAUGCAUUUUAAUUCCUUAUUUCUCACAUCCCGAAAGUCACAUUACAUCUAUGAACCAGAAGAACUAGAGAGCUGGGUCGACAUACGAAGACGCGGGAGCUAAAGCAAAUAGACUGUGAGGUUAUCAGGAUACAGGAGAAAUGGGUUAUGCUUUAGUCCUUGUAAAUGGCACUGGUUUUUCUGGUGCAAGUAAAGCCUGACAGUGGUGUACUCCAGGCAAUGUGAAGCUAGGACUUUCCUAUCAGGCGUGACCUUGUAGCCAAAUCCAUGAGGAGUCGGAGGCAGUUGCAGCAACUAACCAUGAAGCGACGGUGGAGAUCCAGUUCAUCUUUUAGGUCUGACCAGCACAAGGUGGCAACAGCAAUAGUGGAGAAGGCAUGAAGAGGCCCACGUCUGAAAAUCCGUUCUGCUGACAAAUCAAGGGAGAUGGUCUUAGCAUCCACUAUGACAAUGUUGUCCAGAACAUGGACGACUCUGGAAACUGGAAAGUAACAGAUUUUGCUUCCAGGCACACAAAGGCCACCGAUUGGAUCAGCGCGAAGAAACCCGUUCGGACCGCUGACGCAUGCCUCGCCUCAGCAACGGAUCAACCUCUGCACCUACAUCCACUUCGACAGGUCGUCAGUCAAAGCAGGUCCAUUUUACCCUCCUUCAUGCGGAUGAAUCUGAUCAAGUUUAUUUCAAAUUCCAAUCUAGAGUAGUUACACUUUUUCGCCUCUGCCUGCCUGCUUCUAGCAGGGUUGCAUUUCUCCAGUUUUCACAGCUUCAAAUCACUACCUACGAAUUGCGUAUGCGAUUCAUCAUCGUUCAAUUACCCCGUACCCUAUGUGAAUUAUAUUCUGAAGUACAGGUUGACAACAACCUACUAGUUGUACAUACUUUUCUAGCUGGUACACAGUAAAAAGAAAGGGCUUGAGUAAAUGCACAUUGUUCAUUUCAUAUCUCUCAGAAGUUCCUGCAUUUAUUUUCCAGUAGCCAUAAUCAAUGUCAGUCAAACACUUUGAAGGUUUUACACUUUUAUUUGGUAUCCUACUGCGCUGCAUGAUAACAUCCACAUUUACACGUAGUUUAGGCCCAGUAAAGCAUUUCCCCCCUGGUUUCUUCAGCUUGCAAGAAAGGUUAUGGAUUCUGGGUUGACAUUCUAUUUAUUAAAAAGGUGCCUACAUGAAAAAAAUCGUUGAAAAGCCAAGUGAGACACAAUAACUGUCCACCCAAAUCAUUGUGCUGGCUCAACGCCCUCUGCGACACAGAGGCUGGCGGGCUCUCUCUCUGCACCGGCCAAUCCGGCGAGGGUGCUGUCCUGUGAAUUUGCCCGAAUUCUGAAACUAUUGCAUGUGCACUAUAUGUAUGAUGGAAGGUUUCACUUAAGAAGUGUCCAAACUGAGGUACUAGUUAACUGGCAUACUUUAUGGAAGAGACAUUCGCCCUAACCUGCAACUCCACCAGUCAUAUAGAAGCACAUAUAACUGAUUUGUUGCUAUCUGAGACCAUUAUUUUAAUUGUGAAUCUUAUUUUUCUUUACCUCUAGGCCAUGAACCAUCUUACCCUCAAAUCAGAAUUCAUGUUUUUUGCUCCUAUUUUGUUCCUUACCAGUGAUAGUGCAGCUUCCUAAAGGCAUAAAGCUCCCGGGAAGGUAUAUCCGUACAGUGAACUGGAUUAUGCAUUAAUCGGUUGAUUCAGAGCUCUUGUAUCUUGAGUGGCAUUCACCUUUGGGCAAUUCAAGCGACCACAUGUCAUGGUCUUCUUAUCGACGUCUGACUGUUGAAAAGAGUUCUUAUGUGGGUUCUGUUUUAAUGUCUUUAUGCUUGUGAAGUACACGGUGGAGGCGCGCAUGGUUGAUGAUUAUGUUCUGGGUUGGCCAUUGAGAGGGAGGCCGAAGCAAACUCCAUCAGGUUUCAGCUACUUCAGGUUAGGCGGGAGAAAUAAAAAGGGUGACCAUAGAUAUAUGGUCUAGCAUCACGAGGUUCAGGUAACUGCUGUUGACCAACCGUUGCUUCGGUCAAGUUAGAGAUUAAAGAAGACUGAAAUUAUGGGCUCGCAGCGAGGAUUGCUGUGUCCAACCUGCACAAGAAUGCCAAGAAGUCCUUCUCCGAGACGAUUAAGGACAUGUACCUGCACUACAAUGAGUGAUCUGGGCUGCUUCUUUGUGGCUUCCAAACUUGAAAUGUUUUUUGGAAGUUAGUUUAGUUUUUUGUUGUGGAUUCACAGCUUCUCACAUGUACCAUUCUCUUAGACCUUUAGAUUUCCAAAGAAACUAUAUGAAGAUAUGGUGGUAUGGUCUCAAUAGUACAACUUAAAGCUUUCCAUGCUUUACAUUUUCUUUGAAAUAUGCUCUUGAAGAAUCAUGUAUCCAUGUUAGAUCUGGUGAGAAAAGACGGCUUCCAAGCAGAGGAUGCGGGAGUGUUGGCCACAUUUGGUUUUUGACUUGGGUGUAAAUAUUCUCACAAUACUUGGCUCCUUCUCGGCCUUUGCGCCAUUGGCGCAACGAGUCAUCUAGUCAUUUUAAAUUGUGUAAGUACGAAA